UAACCGGGCGUUAAGUUGCAGGGUAUAGACCCGAAACCCGGUGAUCUAGCCAUGGGCAGGUUGAAGGUUGGGUAACACUAACUGGAGGACCGAACCGACUAAUGUUGAAAAAUUAGCGGAUGACCUGUGGCUGGGGGUGAAAGGCCAAUCAAACCGGGAGAUAGCUGGUUCUCCCCGAAAGCUAUUUAGGUAGCGCCUCGUGAAUUCAUCUCCGGGGGUAGAGCACUGUUUCGGCUAGGGGGCCAUCCCGGCUUACCAACCCGAUGCAAACUGCGAAUACCGGAGAAUGUUAUCACGGGAGACACACGGCGGGUGCUAACGUCCGUCGUGAAGAGGGAAACAACCCAGACCGCCAGCUAAGGUCCCAAAGUCAUGGUUAAGUGGGAAACGAUGUGGGAAGGCCCAGACAGCCAGGAUGUUGGCUUAGAAGCAGCCAUCAUUUAAAGAAAGCGUAAUAGCUCACUGGUCGAGUCGGCCUGCGCGGAAGAUGUAACGGGGCUAAACCAUGCACCGAAGCUGCGGCAGCGACGCUGAUGCGUUGUUGGGUAGGGGAGCGUUCUGUAAGCCUGCGAAGGUGUGUCGUGAGGCAUGCUGGAGGUAUCAGAAGUGCGAAUGCUGACAUAAGUAACGAUAAAGCGGGUGAAAAGCCCGCUCGCCGGAAGACCAAGGGUUCCUGUCCAACGUUAAUCGGGGCAGGGUGAGUCGACCCCUAAGGCGAGGCCGAAAGGCGUAGUCGAUGGGAAACGGGUUAAUAUUCCCGUACUUGGUGUUACUGCGAAGGGGGGACGGAGAAGGCUAUGUUGGCCGGGCGACGGUUGUCCCGGUUUAAGCGUGUAGGUGUGUGUUCCAGGUAAAUCCGGUUCACUUUAACACUGAGGCGUGAUGACGAGGCACUACGGUGCUGAAGCAACAAAUGCCCUGCUUCCAGGAAAAGCCUCUAAGCAUCAGGUAACAUCAAAUCGUACCCCAAACCGACACAGGUGGUCAGGUAGAGAAUACCAAGGCGCUUGAGAGAACUCGGGUGAAGGAACUAGGCAAAAUGGUGCCGUAACUUCGGGAGAAGGCACGCUGACACGUAGGUGAAGUGAUUUACUCAUGGAGCUGAAGUCAGUCGAAGAUACCAGCUGGCUGCAACUGUUUAUUAAAAACACAGCACUGUGCAAACACGAAAGUGGACGUAUACGGUGUGACGCCUGCCCGGUGCCGGAAGGUUAAUUGAUGGGGUCAGCGCAAGCGAAGCUCCUGAUCGAAGCCCCGGUAAACGGCGGCCGUAACUAUAACGGUCCUAAGGUAGCGAAAUUCCUUGUCGGGUAAGUUCCGACCUGCACGAAUGGCGUAAUGAUGGCCAGGCUGUCUCCACCCGAGACUCAGUGAAAUUGAACUCGCUGUGAAGAUGCAGUGUACCCGCGGCAAGACGGAAAGACCCCGUGAACCUUUACUAUAGCUUGACACUGAACAUUGAGCCUUGAUGUGUAGGAUAGGUGGGAGGCUUUGAAGUGUGGACGCCAGUCUGCAUGGAGCCGGCCUUGAAAUACCACCCUUUAAUGUUUGAUGUUCUAACGUGGACCCGUGAUCCGGGUUGCGGACAGUGUCUGGUGGGUAGUUUGACUGGGGCGGUCUCCUCCUAAAGAGUAACGGAGGAGCACGAAGGUUGGCUAAUCCUGGUCGGACAUCAGGAGGUUAGUGCAAUGGCAUAAGCCAGCUUGACUGCGAGCGUGACGGCGCGAGCAGGUGCGAAAGCAGGUCAUAGUGAUCCGGUGGUUCUGAAUGGAAGGGCCAUCGCUCAACGGAUAAAAGGUACUCCGGGGAUAACAGGCUGAUACCGCCCAAGAGUUCAUAUCGACGGCGGUGUUUGGCACCUCGAUGUCGGCUCAUCACAUCCUGGGGCUGAAGUAGGUCCCAAGGGUAUGGCUGUUCGCCAUUUAAAGUGGUACGCGAGCUGGGUUUAGAACGUCGUGAGACAGUUCGGUCCCUAUCUGCCGUGGGCGCUGGAGAACUGAGGGGGGCUGCUCCUAGUACGAGAGGACCGGAGUGGACGCAUCACUGGUGUUCGGGUUGUCAUGCCAAUGGCACUGCCCGGUAGCUAAAUGCGGAAGAGAUAAGUGCUGAAAGCAUCUAAGCACGAAACUUGCCCCGAGAUGAGUUCUCCCUGAGACUUAGAGUCUCCUGAAGGAACGUUGAAGACGACGACGUUGAUAGGCCGGGUGUGUAAGCGCAGCGAUGCGUUGAGCUAACCGGUACUAAUGAACCGUGAGGCUUAACCUUACAACGCCGAA
Molecule: ribosomal RNA, 2276 nt
Filed under: Salmonella enterica subsp. enterica
Lineage: Bacteria; Pseudomonadati; Pseudomonadota; Gammaproteobacteria; Enterobacterales; Enterobacteriaceae
Also listed under: 1 other name
Description: partial 23S ribosomal RNA
Rfam family: Bacterial large subunit ribosomal RNA
Source: RNAcentral